RNAcentral lists this ribosomal RNA (106 nucleotides) under uncultured bacterium. RNAcentral describes it as "partial 16S ribosomal RNA". The record is from RNAcentral.
AAGGCCUUCGGGUUGUAAAGCUCUUUCGGUUGGGAAGAAGGGGUAGUCAGUUAAUAAGUGAUUACUUUGAUGGUACCAAAAGAAGAAGCACCGGCAAACUUCGUGC